CAAUGGGAUGCGAAUCUCGAAAGCCUGUCUCAGUUCGGAUUGGAGGCUGAAACCCGCCUCCAUGAAGUUGGAUUCGCUAGUAAUCGCGCAUCAGCCAUGGCGCGGUGAAUACGUUCCCGGGCCUUGUACACACCGCCCGUCAAGCCAUGGGAGCCGGGGGUGCCUGAAGUUCGUGACCGCAAGGAGCGACCUAGGGCAAAACUGGUGACUGGGGCUAAGUCGUAACAAGGUAUC
Molecule: ribosomal RNA, 234 nt
Filed under: uncultured bacterium
Lineage: Bacteria
Description: partial 16S ribosomal RNA
Rfam family: Bacterial small subunit ribosomal RNA
Source: RNAcentral